RNAcentral lists this long non-coding RNA (5648 nucleotides) under Sus scrofa (pig). RNAcentral's name for it is "lncRNA (ENSSSCG00040010540.1)". Lineage: Eukaryota; Metazoa; Chordata; Mammalia; Artiodactyla; Suidae. The record is from RNAcentral.
GUUACCGAUAUGUGCAUGCUGUUUGCUUAAUGUCAUGCAUGUUAUUGCUGUUAUUCAUUGAAAUCCUGCCCCUUGCAUGCGGAGCACUAGUUCCUUAUCUGCAGCUCCCAAUGUUUAUUUCUCCUAGUUUCUCCCGAACCACAAUAUAAAAGUUGGCAGGCGCAACCUAUAAUCUCAUCUACAGCGUGGGAUACAGUAUCCGAUACUUUGAAAAUUCUGACUCCUUCUUGGAAAAGGGAAGUGCACAGUCUUUGCCAAAGGUAGGGGCCAAAGGAGGAGCUUCUCGAACUCAGAGAAGCAGGAGGGAAUUCCAGAAAAAGCUGAUCGGAAGACUUCGAAAAUCACAGCGAUUAGAAUGGAAGGAACCUUGAUGUCUCUCUCUGUGGGUGAAAGAAUCGAGAACAGAGAGGCUGGAACUUGUUCAGGCUGCCACAAAGCCAGAGACGUGGGGUCUGGCACUCUGGUCUCCCCGCUCCCUGCACCCACGUGGAGGGGUGGAAGGGGGCGGGAUUUCAGGGAAAGCAGAGUGCGCAUGCUCCUCCCUCUCCGGCCAGAGGCCAGAGCAGCUUUGCUGAAGUGUUUUCGGCAGGAGGCUCUUAGGAAGCGUUGGAAACCACCGCCUACCAGAACAUAGUGAUGGUUCUGGUUUCAGGCACCAUAUCUUUUGCAGGUUCUGCUAAUCCAACAAAGCUUGUUUACAGGGCAUUUAACAAAGACGUUUCCAGUUCUUUGAAACAGAACACACACACACACACUGCAGAUUCCACCAAACCACAACUCUACAGCUCCAUUGCUCCCUUUCACUCAAGCCCUUUAACUUGCAAAAGCGCCGAAGAUCCGAGUCCUGGACAUUCUGAAGUAUAAGAAGUUAGUCUUUUUUUAAUGCCUCUGUGCAAGGACACGUCUCUUGAUUUACCAUAAACAGCCUUGAGUUUUCACUAUAUGACCUCUGCAAAAUUCUCUUUUCAGAUUAUGGGCACAUAUGCAAAGUUCUAGUCAUAACCAUUCUAAAAACAAAACAUAUCAUAACAGUUUUAUCCUUGCUUAUGUUGUCUGCAAAGACUGCAUCAUUGACUUCUCAGAGCAACCCAAAUACGUUAACAGCAUUUUACAGAGAAAGUUAACCCAGAGACUGGGUUCUGUGCCUAUUGGUCAAAUAUAUAAUGAGAAGGACAUCUGAACCCAGACCACUCUGAUUCCAAGGCUGAAUCCUUAGCCACUAAGACCAAAGCAUGCCUCUCCCAUGAACAAUGAUUAUAAAUUCAUUUUUUAUUUGGCUGAGGCAUAUAAAAAUCACUCUAUUUUCUUUUUAGCAUCCCCAAAUAGAAGCAUCUUGCCUCACCUCGUAUUUAUCUGAAGACACACACAGGGAAUUAUUUCAAGAACAGCUAGGAUUGCCAUGAGCCUGCAAUAGUUGGAAGUCUCAUCCAGAGCAAAGGAAAGUAAUAGCUCCAGAGAUAUGGACAAGGUACCACUAGCAUCUGUCACAUUAUUUAUUCAGCAUUAUAUGCACUGUGCUAAGCACUACAGCAACAUAGUAAAGUAAGAAGAUGCUUUCCGUCUUGGAGAAAUUCAUAGUCUAAUAGGGAAACCAGACUUAUGAAUGGAUAAUAACUUUGGAAAUAACUUAUGGUGAUAUAACAUAUACUCAAUUAGCAUGAUGCACAAGGCAUGUUUUGAGCACAGAGAUGAGUCAGCGAAUCCAGCUCAUGAGGACCGGUUGGGCAGAAAAGUCUAACUUGAAGGCAUGACCCACAUGCUAAGCCUGGAAGGAGGAGGGGGUGCCAGCCAAACAGAAGAUGGUUGAGGAGCAGCUUGGGAAGGGUACUGCAGGCAGAAGAAACAGCUCAAGGGGUAGGGCACAGUCUAGAAUAACACAGCCGGUCCAAGGGAGUGGUGAGCUGAUCCAUUCAUCGGAAUGUAGAGCAUGAGGUGGGAGGGAGGCUGGUGAGCCCAUGGGCAGCAUUGUGUGUUACUCUGAGUUUGGAAUUCGUUGUAGAUGUCAGGAAGUCAUUUAAGAGUCUUAAGUUUCUUGAGUGACAUGAUCAGAUUUGCAUUUUGGGUGGACCACCCUGACCGGCCAUCAGCUGUUUCCUUCUAUCACCAAUGAGUCUCAUACAUGAGACGUCCUUCCGUGAGCUUAUCCAUUCUUGACCCCUUUCCCCUGUAAAUCACAUUCUUUAAAGUGACUUUGCUGCUUCUGCCGUCAACACACGGAGUCUGUCUCCCCCAGCCCCCCCGCCCCCCAACACACACACACGUUCAAUCUGGACUAGUUUGUGCUUUGCUUUGGCCAUUAGAAUAAGGUAAAAAUGACUGCCAGAGCCUAGCGAGACCUCAAGAGGCCACACCCACUUCCGCUCUCUCCCCUGGAUCCCUGACUCCCCCGUGCAAGCUGCAGGAGGGAGAGACCCUAUUAACCAGCCCUGUGGUCCAGCAGAAGCAUUAGACAUGAGAAAGCCCAGCCAAGGAGUGGGCUUCAGCUGACUCCAGGCAGACCACUGACACACUUAAGCACUUCAUGGCAUCCAGUGCGAAGUUCUGACCAACUGUGAGCUAAAUAAAGCAUUUUCAUUUCAAGUUGCCAAGUGUUGGGGUGGUUGGUUAUUCUACAAAAAGUACCUGGAAGGUAGGAUAACCCGGUAUUUGCUCUAAUCUCACAAAGAGUAAAUAAAUCAUUUGCAAGCCUUGGCGCUUUAUCCAUUAUAAGCAACAAGGUACUUUGAACAUGCUGGGCUGUUGCAACACAACGGCAGAGCAUGAUAAAGUGCAGCUUCUCAAAGUGCAUCCUGGAAAGGCUCCUGCUUCCAGGAAGAUGGAGCAGAUAGGCUUGGCCCUACUCCUCCAAGUCCAACUGAAAACGCUGGACCUUAUAUGUAACACAAACCCAACUCUGGAAGGUGGAAAGUAAAGGCAGACCAGUUAGGGAGCAUGGAAGCUGAGGAAUGGCGACUCUCCUGGGGUUUCUUUUUGCCUUGUGGAUUCCAGGUUUCAAGCUGAAGAAGCCACCUGGAAAUGCCAACAGACCCAGACUGAAAGAAUCCCAAUGAAAACUUGCUCUCUCCAGUCAAAGCUGUAGGAAAGGGACAGCCUAGCAGGACAAAACACUUCUAGACAAUAACCACACUCCUCUAGCCAACAUGACAGGAAGAACUGUGCCACUCCCCGUCCCCAACCUCUACCAGUAAAGGCUGCGUGGGAAGCCUAGACUUCUGCUCUUGAGAUGCUCUAAGGAGCACCUUAACCAGGGUGGUAUCAAAGAAGGACAAGCAGAUGCUGGGAUUUUCGUCUCAGGCGUCAAUGCGCUGCCUCCAUCUCCUGCCCUCCCGCUGUAUCUGCCGAGACCACAGGGGAGCCUGGACUUGCGCUUCCACCUGGCCGAAGGAGGUGCCCUCUUCCUCCCCCGGGGAUGGUGUCAGGGGAAGCCUAGUGGAGUGAAGCCAGACUUUCCUUGUUGCCAGCAGUAAUGAGCUGUCACUUAUCAGGUUCAUUACUACUGAGCCACAGCGGGAACUCCCUAUUCACUCUUUACCAUACAUUUAUCAUUGGUAUUAUGACAUUAACUUAAAAAAUAGGGAAUUGAAAUUCAAGAAGUUAAAUUUGAAAGGUCACAACUAAUAAGAGGUAGAGCCAGGAUUUGAUCUCAGAGUUGACUCCCAAAUAUCUGCUUUUUUUUUUUUUUUUUUUUUCUCUUUUUCUGGCUGCAGCUGCAGCAUAUGGAAGUUCCCGGGCCAGGGACUGAAUCCAAGCCACAGCUGCAACUGACACCAUAGCUGUGGCAAUGCCAGAUCCUUAACUCACUGUGCCACAGUAGGAACUUCUCUGCUCUUAAUUUUCCUUUUUCUUUUUUUGUUUUUAGGGCCGCACCCAGGGCAUAUGGAGGUUCCCAGGCUAGGGGUCCAAUCGGAGCUACAGCUGCUGGCCUAUACCACAGCCACAGCCACGCAGGAUCAGAGUCGCAUCUGCGACCUACAUACACCACUGCUCAUGGCAACACUGGAUCCCCAACCCACUGAGCAAGGCCAGGGAUUAAACCCACAACCUCAUGGUUCCUAGUUGGAUUCAUUUCUGCUGUACCACAAUGGAACUCCCUCUGCCCCCAAUUUUGAUGCAUUAUUCUCUCAGAGUAUGAUUAAAAAAAACCUCAAAAAGACAAAAGGGCAAACUAGGAAAGUGUUUAGAAUUAUAUCACUGUCAAAGGGUUUCAUUUAUUACUAUAUAAACAGCUAAAUAAUAAACUUUUGCUAAUAAAACAAUGGGAAAAUUAUUGAUACCUCAAUUCAUGAGAAUGGCUAAAGGACAUCUGAACGUGUUCAGAUUCAAACUGCAGUUUUAAUAAAUCUAUUAAAUAGGCAAAUGCCAUUUUUCUCUAUUUUUUUCCCCGAAUGAGAAAAUCCUACAUCCACUCCUAAAACGGCUCUUAUGAAAUAGGCACUCUCAAACAGCUGCUGUCAUCAUUAGUGGCAAUGAGUUUGCGUCAGGGAAUUUGCCUUAAAAUUCCUACCUUUUGACCUGGUUGUUUAAUUUCUAAGAAUCGAGAAAACUUAAAAAAAUGAAUCAGAUACAUAAACAAAACCUUAUAUUCGAGGAUGUUUGUCACAGCAUUAUUUAUAUGAGCAAAACUAUGAGAAGAACAUUCAUAUCUGUCCGUAGAGAAUGGUUUAAGAAGUAAGGGAUGGGCGUAUGGGUGCCGUCAUUACGGUCAUGUUUUAGGAAAGUGAUGGUAUGAGAAAAUGCGUAUGACAAAUUUUUAUGUGAAAAAAGUCAGGAAACCCCCAAUUUUAUAAAAGCACAAUAUGUGUGAAUGUGAAUAGGUAUAUAUAUACAUAUAUAUCUUUCAAAGGAAAUGUGUCAAAAGGUCAAGUGUGUCUCUCUCAUGAAUAAUAUUCAUUUUCUUUACCUAAUUUCCAAAAUGUCUGCAGUGGUGAUUCAGGAAAAGCAGCAAUAGUUUACUUCCCACUGCUCUUUAAGUUCCAGCGUCUUUGAUGUGACUACCAGCAAGUCCCUGUGUUUCAAUCAGCACCUUAUAGAUGGCACCCAACUAGUCUCAAGCAGCGUGGGGGGGACUCCUACUUCAGGGAGUUCCCAGGGUCAUGGGGGAGGAGAGGGUGUUGAAAGAAGGCAGGGCAUCAGCAGAAAUCCUCUCCCUACACGGAGAUUAGUCAGCAGCCAGGGUGAAAUGGGAGAGCACUGGGAUUUGGCUUCCCCCACCGAAGCCGCCCCAGCUCCUUCUGUUCACCACGGACAGACUCUGCAGUCACAUGGCCACCAGGUGACAUGUGUGAGUGGAAAACCAGUGGCUGUCAAAGUAUUUUUGCCAAUUUGUUGAAAGGAGUAAUGAUAAAACAGAAUGGUCGUGGUGGCAUGAUGUAAUUUGAUAGCCAGAGGACACCACUGUCCGUAGCAAACAUCAUUUAGACUUGUUAACAAGUGGGGAUGCUGGGCUUUUCUAUUUGCUGUGAAAUUGCCCAGCACAUUGAGUGUAUAAAGAUUUUUUAGUGAUGGGUGUCUAUUAGGCAUCUUAAACGUCGCUUUUCUCCCAUCUACACAUCUCUUGGUUUCUUUUGCCAUAUCUGUUCUUCACUCUCUUUUCCUCAUCUCAGGAAAAGCUAUUUUUAUUUUUACCUUGCCUUAAAAAAAAAAAAAAA